AACCUGCCCAAGAGAUCGGGAUAACACCUGGAAACAGAUGCUAAUAACCGGAUAACAACAGAUGAUGCCUAUCAACUGUUUAAAAGAUGGUUCUGCUAUCACUCUUGGAUGGACCUGCGGUGCAUUAGCUAGUUGGUAGGGUAACGGCCUACCAAGGCGAUGAUGCAUAGCCGAGUUGAGAGACUGAUCGGCCACAUUGGGACUGAGACACGGCCCAAACUCCUACGGGAGGCAGCAGGC
This 240-nucleotide ribosomal RNA is filed under the name uncultured Lactobacillus sp. RNAcentral's name for it is "partial 16S ribosomal RNA". It matches the Rfam family "Bacterial small subunit ribosomal RNA", at positions 123 to 354 of the family's 1533-position model. Lineage: Bacteria; Bacillati; Bacillota; Bacilli; Lactobacillales; Lactobacillaceae. The record is from RNAcentral.